Molecule: long non-coding RNA, 1835 nt
Filed under: Ananas comosus (pineapple)
Lineage: Eukaryota; Viridiplantae; Streptophyta; Magnoliopsida; Poales; Bromeliaceae
Description: long non-coding RNA (ACOM_LNC033525)
Source: RNAcentral
UAUAGUACGGUCACAAAGGAGAUAAGAAAGAUGACACACACUACAACAGAAUUUGGUUAUAGGGACGCAUGUUUGGAACACUUUUGUGUAAGUGUCUCAUUUAUACCAAAACUUGAAAAAAAAUCUACUAAUGCCUAAAUAUAAAGUCCAAUCCAAUCAAAAAUAAAAGAUUACUCUACUCAACCCACCCCACCCAGCCAAUUCGGCCCAAUUACAAACAGAAAAGAAAAAAAAAAAAAAAAAAGAAAAAUCGAUUACCAUCUCCUCUUCUCUCCUCACUCAAUCCACUGAAAUUCUAGACGAAGGUCCCUUCCUCUCGUCCUCCUCCACCACCGCAGCCAACGAGGUAGAGUUCCAGCGGUUGCUAAAUGAUUAAAUAAGUGUUGGUAAAUUAGCAGCACUCUUUUAGGUUAUAGCGACACUCUUUAACUGUCACUAUAUACCUAGCGACCCCACAUAUAGCAACACUUUUUAAAAGUAUCGGUAAUUUAGCCAGCAGCACUUUUUUUUAUCUAUACCGAUAUUUAAAAGUAUCGCUAUAGACCGUUUUUGUUGUAGUGACAAAUCUAAACAAAUUUUUUCAUUAAACGAAAAACUCUUCCCCAACAAUAGACAUCAAGCCUGUUGAUAAUAAUAAGUUCUAAUUCAAAUUUUAAUCAAUUCUCAUGAUUUUAAAAAUUUUCCUAAUAGGAAUAAAUGUCACUCUUAUUUCUAACUUACAAAAGCAUAUCCCUAAUUUUUAGGAACUUAUGCAAUAUAAAGAGCUAGAUCUUAAGAAUCACAAAAACAAAUUGAUUAAAAUAAAAAAAAUUAAAAUUAAGAAAAUAAAUUUUUAAAUUCUUGUUGAUUUUUCGGUUGCAUCAUUCUCUUCUACUGUGAAGAUCUCAUCUCGAUAUCAACUCAAAUGUCUUCUUAGCUUGGAUCGAACUCUGAAAUUUCGACAAUGUGAUGAUUCAUUCUGAGCCAAACCGAUCCAAUCUCAUUAUAAGGUUUUUGAAAAUUUCAAAUAUUGAACUCCAUACUGAAAUUCCAUUCAUCUGCAUUAGUCUUGACAACUGCUUGCCAAUCUGAGUUAUGUUAUCUUGGACUAAAAUCUUCUUGAUAUUUUGUGGUAGAAUUGAAAUCCUCUCUACUGCUAGUGUAAUAUACUGAAUUUCGGUAUGAUGUACUAAACUUUAGCUAAAUCGAUAAAGUGCAGUUAAAAUAGGAUGAUAUACUAUUUUAAAGAAUUUAGAGCAGUUUUAAAUAAGUUGGAGUUGAAUUAGAUCAAAAUUGGCGGGAAAACGAAGUUUCGAAAAGCUAUCAUGUAUCCCUAGCGUGCCGUCAAGUACCCUUAGCAUGUGGAGUACUCAAAGAGAAGUUUCGAAACUUCACACAGCCAACGGAGCCACAACCUUCGAUAUCUAAGGAGCCUAGACUAGUGUAUCAGCACUUGAGGUCGAGUACCGGUACUUAACAGUGAGUACUGAAACUCCGAAGUUGUGAACAGUGCCCAAAACUCUCGGGUUUUGUGGAAGUUUAAUUUUGGAAGUACCGGAACUACCGAGGACUGAUUUAAGCUAAAUUGUACUAUUUUGCAAUUCCUUCUAGUUGAGGGGCUUCUAUGCAAUUGUUGGGGCUUAUAAAUACCCCAUAAAUGUCCAACUCGUCAUUUACAACUCCACCAAGAUAAAAAAGCUCUCUCUCUCUCUCUCUCUCUCUCUCUCUCUCUCUCUCCCCUUCUCUCUCUUUCUUUUAUUCUCUCUUUCUCUCUCUCUCUCUCAAAUCUUGAUUGCUCUCUCAAUCUCUAACAUUUGCUCAUAAACAUAUCAAAAUAUAUCUUGUACAUCUUUCUU